Molecule: RNA transcript, 1063 nt
Organism: Telopea speciosissima
Lineage: Eukaryota; Viridiplantae; Streptophyta; Magnoliopsida; Proteales; Proteaceae
Gene name: small glutamine-rich tetratricopeptide repeat-containing protein beta
Exons: 7
Source: RefSeq, a predicted model, not a curated record
AGAGAGAGAGAGAGAUAUGAAGGUAGCCUUUUGCUCAGUUUCAUCAGCAUCACUGUUGAAGCCUCUCCCCAAUGUCUACAGUGUUUCUUUCAAGCCUAACCAAGCUUCCAAGAGUCAUAAAAUCAAGGCAGAGAUCGAAUUUAGGGUUUGUGUGAACAGGGCAUGUCGACGACAAGGCUCCAGAGAAACCCUCGAAAUCCUAUCAAGUCUCGCCCCUGCUGAUGUCUCCGUCAACUCUUGCGGUUGUUUGAGUCGAUGUGGCGCAGGUCCCAACCUCGUUGUCUUGCCCGACACCAUCAUGGUCAGCCAUUGUGGGACUCCUUCACGAGUUGCCGAAGUAAUGCUGAGCUUCUGUGGUGGCCGCAGUGAUUCUUUGGAUGCUAAGAAGAAUCUUGAGGCGCUUGCGUUGAGGAAGAGAGGAGAGGAGGCGUUGGAGAAGGGAAACUUUGCAGAGGCUGAGCUUUUAUUCUCUCAGGCUCUUGGUCUCAAACCUUUUGGAGGUCUACAUAUCAUUCACACAAGCAGGUCUGCUGCAAGAUUGGCUAUGGGCAACACUUCUGGAGCCCUAGAGGAUGCUGAAGCUGCUUCAGCACUAGCUCCUCAAUAUCCUAAGGCAUAUAUUUGCAAAGCUGAUGCUUUCUUGGCUCUGGAAGAAUUUGAAGCGGCUGAGAAUUCAUAUUCAAUUGCUUUACAGAUCGAUCCUUCCAUUCGUCGUUCCAAAUCUUUCAAGGCACGGAUUGCAAAACUUCAGGAGAAACUUGCAGCUGCAAAUCUGCUUCCUUAGCUUCAAUGUUUUGACUGAGGAACCACUGUGAUGCUCAGCUUCUGACCAUAUUCACAGUGUUUUCCAACUCCGCAGAUGUACCAAAAGGUCCCGAGCGCUGUUAAAUGUAUGGAGUCAUUGCCAGUUACAAGCAUCCCAAAAAUCGGCUCUCUUAUACAGUUCUCAUAGCCAGUCUUGUUUACUUGCAUUACAUUUUGAUGGCAACUGGUCUCCUGCAGCUUUUUGUGAGGCAAACAAUACAAUGGCCAGAGAGAGUAUACAUUAUUUCCUGUGUACCUG